Belonocnema kinseyi is the source of this 926-nucleotide long non-coding RNA. RefSeq lists it as uncharacterized. NCBI's taxonomy places the organism in Eukaryota, Metazoa, Arthropoda, Insecta, Hymenoptera, Cynipidae. The record is from RefSeq and is a predicted model, not a curated record. The transcript is spliced from 3 exons.
ACAUACACGGUCGAGGCAGGGGGCUGAUGUUUACCAACAAUUCUAAGAAUGUACAAAUUGAUUAUUACUGCAUGAAAAUGGAGUCUUUCGUGAGCCAACGAGUGCACAUAGUCAAGCCUCAGAAAGAGUUCCUGCUAAUGCAUCGUAUACGUCUUAUCAGGCGGAUUGGGAGAGAAGCUUGUCGGAAGAUUACCAUCUCUACCAUAAACUAGAGCGAAUGGAGCAAAGCCUGUUGCCUCGUAAACAUUCACACUUUUCAGACAUCAUCGAACCAUCGACUGAGACAAAAUGAGCAAUAUGGCCUUUUCCCAUAUAAAUUUUGUCAUUACUGCAUGAUACACACGCGUCUGAGAUGACCAAUGCAGGAAUCUUUUCAAGUACAGCAUCUCCAUCUCCUGCAAAGCGCACAAUUCACUUUGCAUCUUUACGGCAGAAGAAUUUAGUCCAAUAUCUAGUGUUGGGUCGUUACCUGAAAUUACGGAUAACGGUAGAAAUUUCCGGUAAAGUAGAGGAAAUUCUCCGGUAACGAAUGGUAACGAAAUUAAAAAAAAAAUUAAUACUAAAUUUGAAUUGCUCAUUGUUUUUACGUUUAUUUAAUAUAAUUUCUUUAAAUAUUUGUCACAUUAAAUAACUUGUGGGAAAACUUUCACGUUUAAAAGUGUUCCUUAACCUCUAUGGUGGGACUUGGUUCUGCUUAAAAAUGUAUGUUUACAUUAUUUUUUGCAAAAAGUUUGUUCCUUUUAAAUCUUUACACUUUGCAAAUUGAGUGGACAGCAAUUACGCGUGGGUAUAUUAUAUAAAAAAGUCUAUGAAAAACAUUUCUUGAACAUAUCUAAGGGUGGCACAUUAUAUUUUUCUAAAUAUUUUGGAAAUAUAUUGGCCAAUACGAAAUUUACUGUAAUAAUAGAUAACGUUAAGAUAAGAGG